Molecule: ribosomal RNA, 385 nt
Filed under: Apirocalus ebrius
Lineage: Eukaryota; Metazoa; Arthropoda; Insecta; Coleoptera; Curculionidae
Description: SSU rRNA
Rfam family: Eukaryotic small subunit ribosomal RNA
Source: RNAcentral
GUACCCACAAUUACUUGGAUAACUGUGGUAAUUCUAGAGCUAAUACAUGCAAACAGAGCUCCGACCGGAGACGGAAGGAGUGCUUUUAUUAGAUCAAAACCAAUCGGUGGCGAGUUUACGCUCGUCAUCGUACAACUUGGUGACUCUGAAUAACUUUACGCUGAUCGCACGGUCUCGCACCGGCGACGCAUCUUUCAAAUGUCUGCCUUAUCAACUGUCGAUGGUAGGUUCUGCGCCUACCAUGGUUGUAACGGGUAACGGGGAAUCAGGGUUCGAUUCCGGAGAGGGAGCCUGAGAAACGGCUACCACAUCCAAGGAAGGCAGCAGGCGCGCAAAUUACCCACUCCCGGCACGGGGAGGUAGUGACGAAAAAUAACGAUACGGG